This 445-nucleotide ribosomal RNA is filed under the name uncultured bacterium. Its description in RNAcentral is "partial 16S ribosomal RNA". It matches the Rfam family "Bacterial small subunit ribosomal RNA", at positions 338 to 795 of the family's 1533-position model. The record is from RNAcentral.
CCUACGGGCGGCAGCAGUGGGGGAUAUUGCACAAUGGGGGGAACCCUGAUGCAGCGACGCCGCGUGGGUGAAGGAGUGCUUCGGAUUGUAAACCCCUGUCAUGUGGGAGCAAAUUAAAAAGAUAGUACCACAAGAGGAAGAGACGGCUAACUCUGUGCCAGCAGCCGCGGUAAUACAGAGGUCUCAAGCGUUGUUCGGAAUCACUGGGCGUAAAGCGUGCGUAGGCUGUUUCGUAAGUCGUGUGUGAAAGGCGCGGGCUCAACCCGCGGACGGCACAUGAUACUGCGAGACUAGAGUAAUGGAGGGGGAACCGGAAUUCUCGGUGUAGCAGGGAAAUGCGUAGAUAUCGAGAGGAACACUCGUGGCGAAGGCGGGUUCCUGGACAUUAACUGACGCUGAGGCACGAAGGCCAGGGGAGCGAAAGGGAUUAGAUACCCUGGUAGUC